UCCCUGGAGGACUAGUGGUUAGGCCUCGGUGCUCUCACUGCUGCGGCCCGGGUUCAACUACCAGCUAGGGAA
RNAcentral lists this transfer RNA (72 nucleotides) under Pangasianodon gigas (Mekong giant catfish). RNAcentral's name for it is "tRNA-Glu". Lineage: Eukaryota; Metazoa; Chordata; Actinopteri; Siluriformes; Pangasiidae. The record is from RNAcentral.